Molecule: long non-coding RNA, 462 nt
Filed under: Rhinopithecus bieti (black snub-nosed monkey)
Lineage: Eukaryota; Metazoa; Chordata; Mammalia; Primates; Cercopithecidae
Description: lncRNA (ENSRBIG00000045444.1)
Source: RNAcentral
UCCAAUGAAGCAUGGCUGAAAUAACACAGUCUCCUUGUUGCAGGUUUUGGGAACGCAGCGUCAGCUAGACCCUGGGGCCCUGUGGCUUCCGUCCUCUCCUGGAGAGGUGACCAGCUGAGGAGUCGGGCCCUCUUGGCUCCGAGGAAGGGGGAACAACAUCUGCUGUGGCGUGUGCCCUGCCUGCUUCAUCUCUCACCUGACUUUAAACACAGAGGGAAUCAACACCCAGCUAGAACUGCACCACACCCAGUUCAGCUGGCAAGAGGAUGCUUUUAAAGAAGAAAAGGUGAUUAGGCCUGGAGUGUUUCCCACAAACCUAACGUCACAGAAUGAGUUAACAGCCAAUGAAUCAGAAACAUAUGGUGCUCAACAAGCUUCUCUCAGAUUACGCACUGUUUAAUAAUCUGGGGAAUCGUUAUUUGUCAAAACAGUUGGAACUUGUUACCAAAUGCAGGAUCUCUG